Long non-coding RNA from Mya arenaria, 467 nucleotides. RefSeq lists it as uncharacterized. The transcript has 4 exons. NCBI's taxonomy places the organism in Eukaryota, Metazoa, Mollusca, Bivalvia, Myida, Myidae. The record is from RefSeq and is a predicted model, not a curated record.
GUGGUAACACAAAUAGUUUUAAAUUGGUAAUAACGUCACAAUUGACAGUUGGAUAAAGAUCCCGGAUCCGGCUGCAUUGUUAAUGUAGCAGGGGUCAACAUAUCGGACGGAACGGUCAGCAGUAAGUCAAAGGCUAUCCUCGACUUCGAAUUCGUCCUUGGCCCACCGCUGACUUCAACUCCAGGGCGCUUCUACUUCACAUCGGAUUGCCCGGACGAUUACGUCUUCGCAUAUGCUUGCGCGAAUUUGAACAACAUCAUCGAGGGUGUUUGCUAUGAUCGCUUGCUUGUUGACAUUAUCAUCUUCAAGCUGGACCGUCCACCGAUGCACAAAAUUGUUCGCGAACUAUGGAAGAAGUUCGGCCUAAAGUUUGAUGAUCCUAGAAACACCUACAACCGGAUCGGUUUACCUUGCACGGAAGACGUUUUAUAGGCCUACGGUGCGGUGGUGGAGAAAGAAUGAAGAAG